RNAcentral lists this transfer RNA (89 nucleotides) under Candidatus Endomicrobiellum neotermitis. Its description in RNAcentral is "tRNA-Ser". It matches the Rfam family "tRNA". From Rfam's summary of the family: Transfer RNA (tRNA) molecules are approximately 80 nucleotides in length. Their secondary structure includes four short double-helical elements and three loops (D, anti-codon, and T loops). Lineage: Bacteria; Pseudomonadati; Elusimicrobiota; Endomicrobiia; Endomicrobiales; Endomicrobiaceae. The record is from RNAcentral.
GGAGAGAUGGCCGAGUAUGGUUUAAGGCGCAGUUUUGGAAAAACUGUUUACUUGAAAGAGUAACUAGGGUUCAAAUCCCUAUCUCUCCG